RNAcentral lists this long non-coding RNA (253 nucleotides) under Vigna radiata. Its description in RNAcentral is "long non-coding RNA (VRAD_LNC001988)". The record is from RNAcentral. Lineage: Eukaryota; Viridiplantae; Streptophyta; Magnoliopsida; Fabales; Fabaceae.
AGAGGUUCCCAAAAUAAAUAGUGUACUUUCGAGUCGAGUGAAUUCAAAAUAUAGACACCUCUUCCAAUCUUUCUUCUCCUGGCCUAUCCCAAAAAAAAAAUAAAAAUUCAAUACUUCUUAGUUGUGAAUAUCUGAAUAGGACAAACCGCCCCGUGGAUCUCUUUGCUUCGGAACAAAACAAUUCGAAUUAGGCUCGGUCAACUGGAAUGUAUAUUAUCGAUAUAAGGGAUUUUUCAAGUGAGAAGAUCCAUCG